AGCUAUGGUCAUACUACAGUUUGUGUGUAUGAAAUUCUGUCAUACCGCGCUGCGAAAAGGGGUGGGAAUAAACAAGAUGAUUAGACAUUAGUACCUGGAUGGGAGACCACUAGGGAACACUAGGUUGCUGUUGGAA
RNAcentral lists this ribosomal RNA (136 nucleotides) under Danio rerio (zebrafish). Lineage: Eukaryota; Metazoa; Chordata; Actinopteri; Cypriniformes; Danionidae. The record is from RNAcentral.